AUUGAACGCUGGCGGCAGGCCUAACACAUGCAAGUCGAACGGUAACAGGAUGAAGCUUUCUUCUUUGCUGUCGCGUGUCGCGCGGGGGUGUGAUAUCUGUGAAACUGUCUUUUUGAGUGGGAUAUCUCCUGGGAACGGUAACUCAUAUCCCAUAUCGUCGCUAGACCAAAAAGCAGGGCCUUCUCGCCUCUUGCCCUCUUAUAUGCCCCGAUGUGGGAUUAUCUUGUUGGCGGGGUAACGUCACACCAAGGCGACGAUCCGUAGCUGGUCUGAGAGGAUGAACAGCCACACUGGAACUGAGACACGGUCCAGACUCCUACGGGAGGCAGCAGUGGGGAAUAUUGCACAAAGGGCGCAAGCCUGAUGCAGCCAUGCCGCGUGGAUGAAGAAGGCCUUCGGGUUGUAAAGUACUUUCAGCGGGGAGGAAGAGAGGAAAGUUAAUACCUUGGCGCAUUGACGGUACCCAAAGAAGAAGCACCGGCUAACUCCGUG
Molecule: ribosomal RNA, 492 nt
Filed under: uncultured bacterium
Lineage: Bacteria
Description: partial 16S ribosomal RNA
Rfam family: Bacterial small subunit ribosomal RNA
Source: RNAcentral